CUCUCAAUUAGUCGGAACUGGUCACGAAUACACAAUCUAAAAUAAAUAAGUACACAUACUAAAAUGGUGAUCAAAUUAUUAUAAUUAAUAAUUAAUUAAAUUUAGACUUACUGCUUCCUCGGGAGGAGAGGGGGGAAGGAAGGGUGAAAGGAUCAAAAUUUUUUACUUUUUUUUUUAUUUUUGGCCAACAACCAUCUUAGAAUUCUUAGACAUAAAACUUCUUCUUGGGACUUCUGCUUCUGAUUGAGAUAUUGCUUGUACAGCAAGCUCAUCUAGUACAAUGAUUUUGUCCAAUAGAUGACAUAUCUGUUGCAACAAAUGAGUCAUCUAUUAAAAAAAAAACAAUAGCAAGAACACAACAAUAUCACCAUUUAUCAAUACACCAUAUUUACCUAUAAAACAACACCAAUAAGACCAAUAUUUAUCAAUACACCACCACCAACAACAACAACACAAACAAAUCAAUACCGCAAACACUAACACACACCAACAACACCAAUAUUUACUAAUAAAUGAAUACCAACAACAUCAACAUUUAUCAAUAUUUACAAAUAUACUAAUACAAACAAAACCAACAACACCAACAAUCAACUUAACCAACAGAAACAUUUACCAACAUUUAAUAAUACCCCAACAACAACAACACACCCAACAACAUCAACAAACAAAAACAACAACAAAGUCCAAAAAAAUGCAACAAACACCAACGAAUCAAUUGUUGUUUAAGUAAUUGUUCACUUAAAUCAACAAAACCAACAGUUGUUGAAUUUGGCCAUAACAAAUUUCUUCAAAAAAAUUUAAAAUUCAAGUUUCACUAUCUUUACAAUAAUGUUCAAGAACAAGAACUACAACAAUAAUAAAUAAAAUCAUAUUUAACUCAGAAAAGGUACCACGUUUACAUCAAUCACCAUAUUAAGAGAAGAAAUACAAUAAAUUAGAAUUUUCUUGAGUUUUCAUUUCAUUUUUAAGAGAAAUAUAUUAAAAUGGUUCACCUAUACUAGAUGAGAAAGUUAACUCAAGUUCCUUUUUUUCUUCAUAACUAAAAAGUCCUAAUUAAAAAAAAAGUCUUUACCUGUGAAAAGAGAGAAAUUGACAGUUGAAAGUCGAAAAGAAAUGAUAAAGAACUUGAAGCUAUUAUCGCCGGAGAAUGUUGUUACAUCAAUCAGUUAAGGAUGAUUUGCAGUAGUUGUUGGAUGAUUGAGAGAGAGAGGUGAGACGUUUGAGAGGAGAGACUAGGAGAGUUGUGAUUUUUGAAAACUGACUUUACUUUUUUGUUUUUAUCAAAAAUAGUUGUGGAUUGUUUUGUAUUUUUAAAAAGAUUAAGAAGUUUUAAAAAUGUUAAUUGAGUCCCCAAUUAACUUAAACUAAUUUUAGUUGUCUUUGACAUUUAAACUUGGUCAAGAGUCACCAAAAACUAAAACAAGACUUGGAGACACCUUUUGUUUAAUUUUAUUGUCAAACCAUACUCCCUUCGAUUAUAUUUUACAUUAGUUCAUGUUAAGACUUGAUUAUCUUCUUUAAGAAAAUUACUAUUUUAAAAGGUAGUUACGUGGCGAGGUCGAGGCAAAGAAUAGUAAAAAAAUGCAUUGAACCAUUGUAGGAAGGUGAAAGUAUCAAAAGAUGAAUGACUCAAAAUUUUAAGUGAUUAUUUAAGCGUUGGGGCGUUCGCCUAAGCAAGCCCAAAAAACUUGACAAAGUAAAAUGAUUUUUUUCUAUUAAAUCUCUAAUUUAAACUUACUACUAAAAUAUAUGAUUGAUAAACACUUAAAUAUUCAAACCAAAAGUAAAAAAAAAAAACUUAAAAGUCAUACUUUUAAAUGUAUUUGUCGUGGACGUCAAUGACGUCUACUAAAAGAAGAUAUUGCAUACACACUUUCCUCUUCCUAGUUCCUUUUGACUAGGUUUUAAGUUAUUUACUUUUUAUUUUUCUAUUUUAAAAUAGAAUAUAUGGUAAAUGGAUGCAUAAAUAAUUGAUUGAGUAACAAGAAGAUGGGAUUGAUUAGUCAUGUACUAUUUUUUAUACAGACUUGUGUUUUUUAGGAAAUAUAGUAGUUUUGUAUAUGAAAAGUUGACCUUAUAUAUUAGUUGUAUUAUGUGGCUUUGGUUAAUUUUUUUUUGAAGUAGUUUUAAAUAUAUCUUCCACUUUUUUUUUUUUUAUAAUUUUGAUGUAGUUUCACUUUUUUGGGUGAUUUAUCUUUUAAAAAUAUUUAUUUUUAAUUAUAUUAUUUUAUAAAAUAUUAAAAAUAAUUUGUGGAUCUUACGUCUCAUGUCGCACACGAUAAAACGCUUCGUCCCACGCCUCCGUCCUUAAAAAUACUUAAGAAAACUUUAAUUGUAUGGAUAUACUAAACUAAGCUUAUAAUGAUGCAUGAGACUUUAAAUUUGAUUACUACUAAUUUAUAUAGUUAUUUAAUAUAAGGGCAGAAAGGAAAAAUUAAUAAUAAAAUUACAUUAAUUAUCUAGAAAAAUCAUUGAACUUUGCUUUCUAUCAAAAAUACCACUCAACUUAAGAUUUUUAUUUUUUAAAAUCACUCAAUAAAAAUGACAUGACAAAAUAAAUAAAUUUUUAUGUCAUCUAAACAUAGACUCCACAUUAAUAAAAUCUACAACGAUAACAAUAACAUACCCAGUGUAUUCCUACAUAGUGGGGUUUAGGGAGGGUAGAGUGUACGCAGAUCAUACUACUACUUAUUUUCGAUAGACCCCCAACUAAAGACCGAUAACAAUAUAAAAACCCAAAACAUAGAUGCAUAUAAACUUGUACAGUAUGCAAAAUAAACUAACACCGUUAGCCACAAGAUAAUACUACAACCACAAGAUAAUACUAAAACUAUUUAUCUAAAACCAUAGAUAUCACUCAACACCACGAACAAGACUUCAGACACAAAUAAAGAAUGCUCCCCUACUGUUGCCGACACACUCCUACCCCCAACCCUCUACCCUAAUUCGUGUCCUCCAUACCUUCUUAUCAAGGUCAUGUCAUCCGUAAGCUGUAACUACUCCUUAUCAUGCUUAAUCACCUCCCUCUAAUAUUUAUUCAGCCUACCUCUACCCCGCCUAAAACUAUUUAUAGCCAGUGUCUCACACCUCCAUACUAGAGCAUCAGAUCCCCUCCUCAUCACGUGUCCGAACCAACGUAACCUCACUUCUCGCAUCCUGUCCUCCACCAAAGCCACUCACUCCCACAUUCUCCCGAAUAAUCUCAUUCCUCAUCUUAUAUUUCCUAGUAUAGCCACAUAUUUAUUGCAACAUUCUCAUCUCCGCCACCUUUAACUUUUGGAUGUGGGAGUUCUUAACUGGUCAUCACUCCCUCCAUACAACAUAAUCGGUUGGACUGACACUCUGUAGAACUUACCUUUAAACUUAGGGGGCAUCUUCUUAUCAUGUAAAACUCUCGAAACGAGCCUCCAUUUCAACCACCCUGCCCCAAUACGAUGCGUAACAUCCUCGUCAAUCUCACCAUUGCCUUGAAUCAUAUACCCUAGAUACUUGAAACUUUCCCUCUUUUGAAAGGCUUGAGAGUCCAUCUUCACAACCACCUCAGCCUCCUACGACACAUCACUAAACUUACACUCCAAGUACUCCAUCUUGGUCCUGCUCAACCAAAAUCCUUUAGACUCAAGGGUCUAUCUCCAAAUCUCCAACUUAUCAUUAACUCCCCCUCUCCCCUCGAGUCUCGUCAAUCAGUCCCACAUCAUCAAGAAAUAACAUACACCAAGGCACCUCACCUUGAAUAUGUCACGUCAAAACAUCCAUGACCAAGGCAAAUAAAAAGUGGCUAAGAGUUGAUCUUUGGUGCGACCUUAUCAAAACCAAAAAGUGCUUUGAAUCUCCACCUACCAUUCUCACACGAGUCUUCGCGCCAUCAUACAUGUCUUGAAUCAACCUAGUGUACGCCACAGGCACCCCUCUAGCCUCCAAGCACCUCCACAGAAUCUCCAUAGGAACUCUGUCAUAUGUCUUAUCAAGAUCACUAAACACCAUGUGCAAGUCCUUCUUUCUUACCUGCAACUGCUCCAAUAAUUUCCUCAAAAGGUGAAUGGCCUCAGUUCGAGCGACCUGGCAUAAAAUCGAACUGAUUUUCAAACGUAGUCACAAUCCUUCUCAGCCUUAACUCUACCACCCUUUCCCAAACCUUCAUAGUAUGACUCAACAAAUUAAUACCUCUAUAGUUGUUGCAACUCUGGAUGUCUCCAUUGUUCUUAUAUAAUGGAAUUAUCGUACUCUACCUCCACACUUCAAGCAUCUUUACCGCCCUAAAAAUGAUGUUAAACAACCUUGCCAACCACUCCAAACCUACCCCGCUAGUGCUCUUCCAAAAAUCCAUUAGAAUCUUGUCUGGCCCCGUCGCCCUACCCCGACGCAUCCUGCGAAUAGCCCCCUCAACCUUGAUCCUUCUAUAAUAACCAUAAUCACGACACUACUCAGGUUUCUCCAAGUCCCCAAUACAAAACCUUUGUCCCUCUCUCCAUUUAAGAGUUUACGAAAAUAGGACUGCCACCUCUUCCUAAUGAGCAUAUCUUCAACCAACAGUAUACCAUCCCCUCCCUUGAUGCACUUCACUUGGUCAAGGUCACGAGCUCUCCGCUUCCUGCCUUGGCAAGCCUAUACAACUUCUUAUCCUCGCCUUUCUUCUCUAAAGUUGUAUACAAUCUCUCAAAAGCUGUUGUAAACUUGUCAACUGGGCAGGGUUGGGCCGUUUCGGCUUGGUUUGCCCAACUUAUUUAGUCUACCCAGCUUGGUUUGACUCGAUCUGAUAGGCCAUCGGGCAAUUGGACCUCCAAUCUUGGGCUGGACCAUCUAGGAUGGCCAUCUCGGUGGACCUUCCCAGUUACAAAAUGGACCUGGCCCACCAGUGACCUGGCCCGAUAAUUAAAAAAAAUUAUUGGAGCCGUUUGGAUUUUGGUUCAAAAUGGACCGCUGGCCCAACAACUAUAAUGCCAUUUGAGGUCCAAUGACCAUUUGACAAAACUUCCUUAUUUUUUCUUAAAAAAUAAAUUUAAUUCAAAAAAAUUUCUAUAAAUACCCCAAAUUUAAAUCAUUUUUCACACAAUCUUAUUCUCUCAUUCUCUCAAUCUCUCUCAAAUAUUCUAAUUAUCUCUUAAAGUGCUCAAUUUUAUUUUUUAAUUUUGCAAUAACAAAUAUCAAGUGAAAGUUUUCUAAAGUCGAAACUUUUAGAUAUUUUUAAAAUUUGGUAUUGUCGUUCCGUCUCUUACUUUAAAUUUUUAAUUAGUAUAUUAAUUGUUGAAUAUUUAUCUUUAGUAUUUUUAUGUAUUUUGAAUACUUAUUAGUUUAAUUUAUAAUAUGGAUAAAUUAAGAAACCUCGGUUAAAAUGUCAAAAAAUUUUAUCCCGAAAGUGGUAGUAGUAGUAAAAAAUAAAUUGGUGGCAGUUCCGGCAGAGGUAGUUCAAGUAUUAGAUAUACCCGUGUGCCUCCAGUACUAAUUAGUCAAUCUUUUGAGGAUGAAAUAGGUGUAGGCGCUCACGGUAUGAAUUAUUUAGAAGCUCUGAAAAAUUAUGGUAUAGAAGAAGAGAAUGAAGUAGACACGGUUAAUUUAGAUGUAUUUGAUGAAAAUAUUCGCGAGACACCCGAAGUUGAAAAUGUUAAUGCUACAUUCGAAUCGGUUAAUCUUCCUCUCUGUCCUCUCCGUGCCCCUGCAAGAUCUCGUAGAAGAACUAGUAUUGAAUGAGAAUUUUUUUCAGAAAUAGAAGGAAAAAGUAAGGUGCAAUGCAAUAUUUAUAAAAUUAUAUAUGAGCAUAAAUUCGGAGACAAUAAAGGGGGUACAGGUUCGUUGAUGAGACAUUUAAGAGAUAGAAAUGCAAGAGCGUUAAGUAUUGCACAAGGUAGUGAGGCUGUUGGUGGGCCUGCACAAACUAGACUGAACCCAACAACCGGUCAAUUAGUUAAGAAUUAUAAUAAAAUAAAGGAUCGAAAAGAAAUAGCGAAAAUGAUAGUUGUGGGUCGUCUGCCUUUCACUUUUGCUUCUUUGGAUGCUUUUACUCAUUAUAUUCAAGUAAUUUAUAAUCUUAUGUUUACAAGUAUUCCUAAAAAUACUUAUCGAGCCAAUAUUUUAAACUCCAUACACAAUAUAUUUAUUAUUUAUCUGUGUUAUUAAAAAGUAUUCCAUGUAGAAUUGCUCUAACUUCUGAUCUUGAUCGUCCUAUUAACAAAAAUGAUAUUUAACAUUACAAAAAAUAGGUCUAAUUGGAAGGGUUUAUUUGUGAGGAUUAUUUUUAACCCCUGCAAAAUUAUGUUAAAUAUGAGGUUAAAAAUGUGCCACUAAAAAUUAUAUAUUUGUGGGGGUUUUAACCCCCGUUAUCCAUCUAAAAAUAGUAGCGCCAAAUGAUUUCCCCUUUUUUGCCCCUAAAACAUUUCUCUCUCUCAUUUUUCCGAGAGAGAGUGGGAGGUACUCUCCGUCGGCCAUUGAUUACUCAGUGGGAGGUACACUGGCCAUUGAUUAGCCAGUUGAUAGGAACUCCGGCCAUUGCUACAUAAGCUUCCGAUCGGCCAUUGCCUUCCUAGCUCCAGGUACUUGUUUUUAAAUCUUAGUGUUUGUUUCACUAGCGGUGCCGCCGUGGAAAGUCAUCUCCGGAAGGAUUUUCUGGUGAUGAUAUCCAUCCCACUUGAAGCUCCAAGGUAAUUCAUUUUUCUAUGUUUGAACCGACCCUAUAACGAAGAUUUGGGUCCUCCAAAGUUCAGUCAGUGAAGACCACCACUUUUCGGUCAAUCUUCGACGCCUCUGUUAGCACUAACACCUCCAUGCCACUGUCCACGGCACUUGUCGGUAGUUGGACAAAAGUAGUGUGACUCGGUGAAAGAUCACUAUGAACGAUGUCACUGCACCUUUUCAUUUUAUGUCGUUCUCUUUAUGCUUUAACUUGAAAGGAUGGUGCAAAUAAGAAUGCUAUGUACUCUAGUUCUAGCAUCUCAGGUUAUUUUUGAUUGAGUAUGAAUACCUGACCAAAUAUGUUCAAGGAUUAUGUGUUGUUCAAUAUUAUGACACUUUUUGGCUUCUCUAUUGCUGAUUUAACAAUUGUGAUGAUUUGCUAUAAAAUAAUUGUGGUUUUCAGAAUGAAGUCUGACCUAAAACCUUUCAUGAAGCAGUGUGUUUGCUCUAUAUUAGGAAAAUAGUUGGUUGAACCAGUGGUUAGAUUUGAGCCAAGGAUCUAUUGGAAACAACUCUCUACCUUACAAGGUAGGGGUAAGGUCUUGUGCACACUACCCUCUCGGUAUCUUGUUGAGGAGUAAGGUCUCAUACAUACUACCCUUUCGAUAUCUUCUUGUUGAAAAAAUGAUUAGAUUUGCCUGAACUGAACCUUUGGUAGCUGCGGAAUGGCUUCAAGAAGUUAAUUUGGAGUGCCAUCCAUAGAAGAUAUUGUUGGCAUCUACUUGUACUGCCUUAUUCAACAUUGUUAUUUACUUUGUGAUUCAAUUAAGGUGAUUUUUAUGCCCAGAAGCUUAUUUUGUUGGGAUUCUCAAACAUGUUGUUGGGUGCGUGUUGGAUCCGUCAAAAGAUUAAUGGUUUUUGAGAAACCGAUACAGGUUUAGUGACAUUUUUGAGAGUCCGAGCAACAUAGUUGGAACAACCUUUGAGUUUCACCUGUUAGCAUACACGGACCUAACAACACACACUCGUUGGGGUCAUCGCAACAUACUGUAUUCAUAUAACAGUAUUGAUAGGUCUUUGGUAUUUGAUUUGGAUUUAGGCUCAAGUAUCCACAUAAUAAUCUAAUGGUUUCUUUUCCCGGACUAAUGGAAGAGUAGAUUAAGCUAAUUUUCACAUUUGUCCAGAUCAGAAUAGUUCAAAAUCUUGCUCAAGUCAACACCAAUCGAGACCCAUAUUGAGUCAAAUUUCUACUGAUUUCUACUCAACCAAUUUUGUGCUGAUUUCCCCAAAUUUCCCUCCUACUCCUCCAUAAUUCAUAGCCUCCAAAUUGCAAUUCUCUGCCGUCUUUCUCUCAUUUUCUAAUUCUCACCAGAAGACAUAAACUACAAACUUAGCAUUUUUCUUACACGGAUUUAGUUUAAAAUUUGUGUCUGUGUGUAUUAAGUUAAACUAAAGUUGAAGAUUUCAUGUAAAGGUUUGAGCUACAUCUGCAAAUGAUCAAUUCAAUUUUUGGUGAAUUAAACAUAUUUAUAGAUUCUCCUUCGUUAUUUCAAUGAGUGAAAGGUGAAAAACACACGUAAAGAAUCCCGAGUUUCAGUAAAUGGAUACAGAAAUGGAUGAAUGAGAAUAGUUAAUAGGUAAGUAUUAAUUUGUGAUGGAGGGAUUCUGCUAAUUUGAUCAAUGAGAAAGGAUGAGAGUUGCUGAAUUGAAGACUAACAUAUCUGUGAAGAGCAGGUCUUUUCGUCCUACUUCUACACCCCAACGGUACUUACCACUAUUACUUUCUCGAUAUCCAUCUUCUUAAUUACUUACUCAUCUUUCUAAUCAUUUUGUAUGUGGAUAUUCUCGAAGAAUCUCACCUCACUUAUUGCGUUUGUUUGUAACAAGGUCCAUAUAUUAAAGAUUUGAACAUCACCAACAUUAAUAUCAUCAAAUAGUAGUACAAGAUACAAAGGGUUUAACUUUAAGAUUUAGUCCUCAAUUUAUUCUACUGCUGUAGUAAAUUUAAUAUUUUGUUGAAAUUUUGCUAGUUUUUUCACACACCCACUUACCUUAUUGUUAAAAUAUUGAUCAGUUGAAUUGAACCGAUUGACCAAAGACUGCAUUCUAUUCCGCCAUGCUGAUUGUUUUCUUGUUUAAACAUAGUAUGGUGUUAAAGGUGUGGGGACCGCUAUAGCAAUAGCUAUUUCAUUAAUUUUCAUCCUCAGAGGUCCCUUAGCAACUUCAGCUGAGGCAUGUCAUAUAAUUAUUAGCUAGCUGUUACACUAUGAUAUACACCUUACCAUCACACAGAACUUUCUUCCAACAUAUUCAGAAGAUUGUAAGCCACUUGCUACAUUAAAUCUUAGAGCAGAACACAUACAAUAUUGUAGCUUAGUUUAUGUUCUGUUGCCUCUUAAGCAGGGCCCGAGUUAGGGGGUCCAUCGAAAUUAUUCUGUAUAUACAAAGUCUACAUUGUUUUUCUGAUGUAUAUAUAGUAGAUGUGAAUCUCCUGAAAGUUCUUCUUGUAUUUACUUCGUUAUAUUUUAUUUGAAAAUUCUGGCUCUGCCACUGCUCUCAAGCUUUGGCAUGGCCUUUUGUCCGUUCCUACAGAUCUUUUACAUCCUUGUGAUCUGCCAGAAUAUAGAUAACUUUCAAAUUCCAAAUAUUUCGGUUUUUUAUUCUUGACAUGUAAGCUGAUUGUCUUCUUCUUUCUUAUUAGGACAGUGUAUGCGUUAUUUCAUAACUUCUCUUACAACUUUUCACUAUUAUCAAAUUUUCUGUUGCAGGCUGAUUUUUGAUGUUUCUAGUGAUGUUGAAGUAGGAGCGGCCAGUUUUGCUCUUCAAAAGGUAUGAAUAAUGUAGCACCUAAAUUUUCUGUGUUCUUCUAUCUUUGAUAUAUUGAUCCCUUCGUAAGUUAUUGAACGACUCAAGCUAUCUAAAGCAGUAUUCAUGCCAGUGAAUGGUUUAGUCUACAUGUAGCUUAAAAAUCACUAUCAAAGCUAUUUUAAUAUAUUGUAGGAGGUCGUGCGCGUUAUAUUUGAGUUAGUUAUCUUGAUUGUUAUGGACAAGUACUAUAGUUAUCUUUUAGGUGAUCUGUCUUGUUUUAUGUCAGUUAAUCCCACUAUAGUUCUCCACCUUAUAUACAAUGAAAAUGUAACGAAUGAAUGUUUACUAGAGUACUAAUGUGGUUGGUUGGGUGGGAACUCUACUACCCAAAUCUAUCGCACCAAGCCUUUGGCUGGGUGUGUAUAUUUUGUGUGGCAGAAGUGGAAUAAUAGGGUGUCAUGCUAAGGAUUAUACUGUAAUGCCCCGAGAGUACACUCUGGGUGUCACAUGAUACUUACGACCCCAAAGGACCACAAGCUAACCCAUGACUGGUACCUGCUAUGAGCAUUGAUUAUAAUAAUGGAACAUAUCUGCUGAAGAAAUUUGAAAAUGCCAUACGGUUCUCAGAAUACUAAAAUAAUAACUGAGUAUAACUGGUAAUAACAUUUGAAAACUGAAUAACUGACAAUGCUAGUCUGAAAGCCUCUAACUAUCUAAAUAUGGAGUAAAUGGGACAAACCCCCAACUAACUCUGACUGAAAUAACUACUGAACUAUUGGAAUACUAAAAUAGAUAAACUCUAUCCUCAAAAUAUGAGGACUCACAACUAUAACUGCUGCUGAUAGCCUGAUCUGCUAAGUACGGUCAGGAACCUGACCGUCCGAACCUAUGAUAUGAGGCAUCAUAGCGCAAAAGAGAGAGUAUGCAUCGGUAUGUGGAAUGUACUGGUAUACUAAGUGAGGUAAGGCUGAUAUACAUGGGUUCAUAUGCAUGAGAUGAUAACUGACUGAAUGAACAUCAUGAAGUAACUGAAUAAGAGUACAUGCAAAACUAUAAUUACUGAACAUGCAAUACUGCGCAUAUAGGUAAACAUCGUGUAUCUGAGCUUAUACUAAAACUGAGUACUAAUUUCUGAUGGUUGAGUAACUGAUAAUUGAUAGCCAUGGUUCAGUAGAACUGACUGAGUUCUUUAUUGAAUACUAAGACUGAAACUGUAAUUGUGGGAGUAUUCAUCUAACCGACAUACCCAAUAUAGACUGGUUUGGGGUCCAACCUAUGACCCCAGUUGGAAGGGUGUUAGCACCUUGCCACGGGUUACUAACAAUGUUAUGUCAACUCUAAUCUGGCAGGAAAACCAUGAAAUAUAUAUGAUUGCAUCAACCCUAGUCUGGCAUGAAGACAAGUUACCCUACGUUGGCUACGUAGUUCUGUAACUCAUGGAUUGCUACUAAGGACCAAGCCCUAACUGGCAGGAAUGCCCCCAACCCUAAGUUCGCUCGGUGCUGAAUCGUACUCCUAAUUGAAAGACACUGAUCACUACACUGUACUAAGUUUGACUGGACUGACCCUGAUUGUGUUGACUGACUGAACUGGUCUGAGUUCACUGAGUUCUGUUAACUGAGUGAGUCCUACUGAUCUUGACCUUUUACUGAGACUAUUCUAUAACUACUGCAACUAAGUAAACAACUAAAUUUCAGGUAACAAAUACCCCCAGGACUCGAUAGCAUAAUGGAGAAACUCAUUAGAACUUUAGCAACACAAAAAUAGGUUACUAUGCAUAAUUUACUCAUAUGGACAUUUUAUCAAACACUAGGGGAGCAUGAUUGCUAUACAUGAUGACUAACCAGAUAGAGUAUCAUAACUACAACAUGCAACUAGCAAAUUCAAGGGUUUUGACAUGAGAGAUUCAUAAUCUAACACACAUGCUAACUUAAUUUCAUGGAACUCAUAAAAGAUCUUAACUUGAAACCCAUACAACAACACAAACAUGAACAUAAUUUAAUUCAUAACAUGGGAAUCAUAAUUCAAGUUUUGAAAAGGGUUCUUAAACUCCAAGGGCGGAAGGAAACCCAAGGAUAAACACCUAACAUAUACUUGAGUGACGAAAUUAGUGAAGAUUGUUGGGUAUUUCUUGAAACUUGAUCUUGAGCUUGAUGAACUAGGGUUUAUUUUUUGAGAGGAUUUUGAUAAUGAGUGAAUGUAUUUUGUCUAUUGAGGGUCUGAAUUUCGUGAUAUGGGGGUCUAAUGUGGGAAGAAAAUGACUUAAUUACCCCCACAAACCCGUAACUUAAUACAAAAUCUCUGCCCAGCGAUGCAAUGACCGAUGCGCCGCAUCAAUGAUGUAGAUGCGAUUGCCGACGUGCCGCAUCGAUGCUGUCGACGUGAUAGCCAACGCGAUGCGUCAAGAUCGCAUUGGUUUGCUGUUUUGGUCAUCUAAACGUGACUCUAACAAUGUCCAAGAAAUUUGAAACUCACCCAAGAUGACCUAUUGACAUCCCUGAUCAUGAAUCAACUUAAAAAUUGAUAUUCUAAGGUCGUAAGGAUAAAAAAUAAGAUCAUCCAAUUACAAAGGUUAAAAAUGCUUCUAAGUCUUAACACUCAGUUGAAUUUUUUUUAAGUCUGAGACCCCUUAUUACAAGCUUUAUGAGACUGAAUUAAACUAGAGCUUUUGUGGGGUCUUACAGAUACAAGGAGAGUACAACUACUAACAAGGGAGAUAGGUAAUAUCACAGUAUGUUGUCAAACACAACGAAAAUUGAGACCACCUGAACUAUUCAUCCCCCAAACUAUACAAACGAGACAUAAUAGAGAGAACUCAUUACAGCAAAAUGAGAAAUGUAAUAAGAGGCGCACAACUACAGAGUUAUAUCAAAGGUAAUAAGAAACAGAAGCUUAUGAAUCAAAUAGAAUGCUAAUAUCAAAGUUAAAAAGAAAAGAAAAAGAAUAAAAGGUGCUAAGCUAGUCACUGUCACGUGCUGUCAGCACUCCUGGGAGCACCAGUGGUUGAUUUGAAUUUUGAAAAGUCGACUAGGUCCCCGGAUAAUUUGUCUUAUGGUUUUGAUGGCUUUCCAGAUGGCAUAUACGAAGGAGUGGAAACUAGAUAAGAAGAACCAUUAUUUGUCAUAGAGAACCCAGACGUUCCUUGGGCUAGGAACUAAGUAUUUUGUUGUUGAGGGUUACCAUAAUCAUAACUGACCAUUUGGUUAACAUACAUUUGUUGGGAAUACAUAUAAGCCAUAUGACCAGAAGGCAUUUGUUGUGGAUAUAAACCCGUUGGCUGUUCACGUUGGAAUUGUUGAGGAUGCAAGCCUUCCAUCUGAUUGCUUUGCAUGGUCUAAUUAUUCAUCAUAGCAGGUUGUCCAGUAGUAUUUGGCUGAUAUAUGUCGUGGAGGUAUGUACCGCCCACUAGUUGUUGGGCAUUUGCUGCAACCAGCUGAUUAUUUUGCAUUGACAUAGCAUGUGGACUUCCAGGCAUCACCUGAUUAUUAAGCAUAGGCUGAGCACUAUACUACUUUUAUGCUCACAAGUCAAAUAUUAACUAUUAAAUUUCAAAUCAUGUAACCCAAAUACAACUGCUAUGAAUCAAUUUUACAUAUGAGCCAAAAAUUGGGUUUAAUAGGAAGAUUAUGAUGAUAUUGUCUGAAGAACCGGUUUUCUAUUUUGGUUAAACUCAAAUAUCGAUGAUGUUUUUAGUUGUACGCAGAUAUAAAUAUUUUAUAACAAGGACUGAAAAUUUAUCUGAUUGAUUUUUAUACUUUACAUUUUUAUGUAGCCAAGUGAUGCGGCUAGUUGACCUAUUUUGUCCAUGGAUGCAAAGAGACCAUAUGAUGAUAGUAAUCCUAAUGACGGCCAUUGAUUUCGUUACAGAUUGUCUUGGAUAUUCAAUUAAGAUGAUGUAACAGUGUGGUUGGAGCGAAUCUUAAAAUAUUGAAGGUCUUGUGUUUAAAUUUGAUUUUGGAGUUCGAAGAUACUAGUUUAUGUUGAAAAUUUGGAGUUUGAAGAUGCUAAUGUUGAAAAUUUAAUUUUGAAGUUUAAUGUUCAAUGCAUUUUUGAAAUGCUUGUCACUUACAAUGUCUAAUUAGUCAUAUUGUGUUAAUAUAUGAAUUGAAUCAAUAUUGGAUUGUAGAUUAUGUCUAAAGGAACAAUUAAAUUUCAGCUAAAAUUAGAAUUUAUAAUUUGUUAUUGAAAAUUGAUGGGUCCCACUAAAUUUUAAAAAAAAGUUCGGAGGUUUUAAACCGCCUCAAUUUGUAAAUAAAAAUUUAUUAUAAAAGAAUUAAAUUUAGAGUAACGGAGGUCAACCGUCGCAAAAUAAUCUCCACAAAUCAAAUAUGACGAUCGAAAAAAAUUGUCGCAAAUUGUUUGUGACGGUUCGUAUUGUGGGGGUUUUGGGAACCGCCGAAAUCGCAAUUUGCGGGGGUUUAAAACCCCACAAACCUUAAAAUUAACCCCCGCAAUUUCACCCUCUUUUUGUAAUGAACAAUUACUUGUCACUUGAUAGAUAGUAAUUUUGUUAUGCAAAAACGCAUUCUAGCAUUUUUGUAUGAUGAAGAUCAUAGACACAUUGAAAGAUUUAUUUCUGAAUCUAUUUCUAAAGUAGCAAAAUAUUAUGGUAUUAAAAGAAAAGUUAUAUGUAUAGCUUUUGAUAAUGCAUCUAACAACAAUGCUGCUGAUGAGUUGCUAAAAGUUGAACUUUCUCCGCCGUUAUCCAAAAUAUUUCAUGUUAAAUGUACUUGUCAUAUAUAUAAUUUAAUCGUAAGAGAUGGUCCUAAUUUUUUUGAGCUUUCUAUUGAAAAAGUCAGGCUUGAUGUUAACUUUAUUCAAUGAAAUAAUCAAAAAGCUUGAGUGAGAGAAUUUAAAACCAAAUGUGAACAUAAUGGACUUAGACCGAUAUUUAUGCCUGAAGAAUGUGAUACUAGAUGGAAUGCUACUUAUACUUAUUUAAAAACUUGUCUUGCUUAUAAAGUUCCUAUUAUAAUGACUUUUAAUCAUUAUUCUGGUUCUUUUUCUGACUGUAUGCUACAUGAUUCUGAUUGGGCUGCAAUUGAUGAUCUUGUUUAAUUUUUGGAAAAGUUUAUAUAGCUACGAUUGAAUUCUCUUGUGCUUAUUAUCCUACUGUUUGUAAUAUUUUAGCUUAUUUAGCCGACAUUUCUUGUUUGCUUAACGAAUAUAAGAAUAAACAAGGUUACAAAGAAGUUAUUACUACUAUGAUUGCUAAAUUUUAAAAAUAUCUUUAUCUGUUUUCCUCAAUUUAUUUGAUUAGUGCUACAAUAAAUCCAUGUAUGAAAUAUAAUACUAUGUCUGAAUUUAGUUCUAUUAUUUAUAAUGAUUUAGAGAUACAGCCUGAAAAAGAACCUUCUUUGUUUACGGCUAUGAAUGAUGCGAACAAUUACAUGCAAGCAUUAUAUAACCAUUAUACCGAUUUACUUGAUGAAGCCGUACCGACAAAUAUCACUCCAACUGUCGUUCCUCAAACUCGAUCCCCAGGAGUCACCAUCUUCUAAAAGGCAGACACAUAGUAGUUAUCCUGAUUACUUUUUUGAUUUAAAUGUUUGGAACAGGGUGCAACCUUCAUCACACAAAACAAAUUCUCAAGAAGAGCUUAAGUAUUUUCCUUGACAGCCGAUAGAGGAUCGUAGAGCAAGGAUCUGCGCACUGAAUUAUUGGAAGAAUAAUGAAAGACAAUAUCCAGUGCUUUCAAGAAUAGCUAGAGAUAUAUUGAAUUUUCCAAUGUCAACUGCUGCAUUGGAGCACGCUUUUAGUCACGACGACAAAAGCUUGGAGACAACUGACACUCCUUGGGAAGCAAUGCUAUGAAUGUUCUAGUUUGCCUUAGAGAUUGAAUUAGAGCGGAACAAAGAAAUCAAGGAAUGGAGGAUGAGCCGAAAUACGAACAAAAUCUUGAAGAAAUUAUGACUUCAAGAGAGAACUCAACACAAUCAAGUCCAAUGCAUGAUUUAGCCUUUGCCCUCGAUGAUUUUGAGUUUUCUAUGGCAGUUCCCGUUAAUAUUACCAUGCAUGAGUUGAAAAAAAUGAUGCAAAAUUUGUAGAUUUUUCAUUCAUGUAAAUUAUAAGUUUUGGAUCAUUUUGCAAUCAAUAAAUACAAUACUCAUUCACUCCUUACUUAUUUUUUUAAUUUAAAUUGAAUGUCUAGUUUGAAUUAAAUACUUUUAAUAUAUUACUAAUUUACUAUCAAACUUUACACUAAGUGUUAAACAUAACAAACAUAUAUACAUAUAAUUAAAAAAUAAAAAUAUAUUAGCAAAUAUUACUUAGACAAAUAGUAUUGACAUAUAAAAAUACUAUAAGUUUAUCUUUUAAGUGUUGUAUGUAAAAUGGUAAAUUUUUGAAUGUAUGUUCAAAAACUUCAAGUAUCAUUAUAUUAAGUAGUAUAUAUUGUAAUAUUGUAUGUAUAUAUGCGUGUAUAUUUUUUAAAGUACUAUAACAUGUAAUGUAUAUAGCUUUCAACUUUCAAGUGGUAUUUUAAGUAGUAUAUAUUCUACAUAGAUGUGUAUAUUUUUUCUAUAGUAUUAUAUAUAUAGUGUAUAUAUGUAGUAUAUAUAUUGUUUCAAAUAGUAUUUUAAGUAGUGUUUAUAUAUAUAUACAUACAUAUAUAUCUAUAUAUAUAUUAUAUUGUAUGUAUAUAUGUAUAUAUAUUUUCUAUAAACUCUAUAGUAGUAUAUAUUUAAUGUAUAUAUGUGUACAUGUUUUAUAAAGUAGUAUAUGUAUAGUGUAUAUUUGUUGUAUGUAUAUUGUUUCAAGUAGUAUUUUAAGUAGUAUAUAUAUUAUAUUGUACGUAGGGGUGACAAUUUCAGCCCAUAUUUGUAAAAAGAAUCUAUUUAACCCAUAUUUAGUGAAUUGGAUCACUCAUAUUUCUAAUGGGUAAAUAUGAACUUCAACUCAUUUUAAAAGCUCAUACAAAUAUGAACAAAAUGGGUAAAAUAUGGGUACCCAUUUAAACACAGAGAUCACCCACCUAUGCUUAAAGUUCCAGUUUUUUUUUCUUUUCUAGUUUCUUUUCUUCUUCUUGUUUUCUUUCUUUUUUCCUUUGAUUUACUUUUUUUCUUUUUCAUUUUUUUUUAUUUUUUUACUCAUUACUUAUAAUUUCUUUUUUUCUUUCUCAUUUUUUCAUCUAUUUUUUUAUUUUUAUUUCUUUUUUCUUUGUAUUCUUUUUUUUUUCCGCUUUUCCUUUUCUCAUUCUUAUUUCAUCAUUCGUAUUCAUUUGAGACCUACAUGGGUUAAUAAAUAUAAGCUUCUAAUUAUCCCAUUUAGCCUAUAUAAUUCAUAACAUCUCUUAUCAAUUAAAUAUAAUCCAUAGUGUCACUCCUUUAUUAUUAUUUUUUUUACCUUUUAUUUCUUUUUCUUUUUUUUUUCUUUCUUUUUUCCUUUAAUUUAAUAUUUCUUUCUUUCUUUUUUCCUUUAAUUUAAUUUUAUUUUAUUUUUCAUUUUUUCCACUUAUUUUUACUCGUUUCUUACACUUUUUUUUCUUUCUUCUUUUUCAUCAUUUUUUUUAUUUUUCAAUUUUAUUUUUUUGCAUUUUUUUUUGUAUUUUCGUUUCCCCCUUUUUCAUUCUUGGUUCGUCAUUUUAUCUUUUUUCUUAUUUUUUUAUAUUCUUUUUCUCAUCUUUUUUUUGUCAUUGCAUUUUAUAUUUUUUUACUUUAAAUUUAUUUGUAUCAUACAAUAUAUUUCAAAUAAAUUUAUUAUUUGUAUUUGAAUAGUUUAGUUGUCAAUAUGUGCAAUUUAUCAUUUGUAUUUAUAUACAAAUAAGUAUAUGAAUUAAAAUCAACAUGAGCUGUGCUACAGUGGAUGGAGCUGCUCCACCCUUAACCAGAGGUCGAGGGUACGACCCUGGUUAUGGAGAAAACUCUGUUGGGAGCGCUGCCACCUUAAUGGGCCCUGCAACACCCGAUCCGAAUUAGUCGGGGCUCCAAUGCUGACAUCGGACACCGAAAACCGGAUGAAAAAUCAAAAAAAGUAUAUGAAUUAAUUGUAUUUUUUUUAGACUAAAAUAUAUAUGACUGAGGAUCCACAUAGCCCUCAAACUAUAAAUGUUGGACGAAUAUAAAUCAAUAUGCGCUUAUGGUAUUUUCGUUGUCAUAAUAAAAAGAAGGAAACCAAAAAUAGAAAAAAAAAUAGAAAAAGAGGUAGAAGUUAGAAAUAGAAGAGAGAAAAAAUUGUAAAGAAAGAAUUGAAAAAAAAAUACAAAAAAAAAUCAAAAAGAAAAAAUAAUGAAAAAGGAAAAAAGGAAAAAGAAAAAAGAUGAUGGUGAAAAUAAAUAUACUGAGUGGUUACGAUAUUUUAGUCAUCAUCCAUAAUUUGUACUCGACUUAACCAUGUUCUUUGAAAAUAAAAAAAAAUAUAAAACAUAAAAUACAACCAAAAAACAAAAAAAUGAGAAAGAAGUAAAAAUAAAAAAUAGAAAAAAAGGAGACUAAAAAGGAAAAGAAAAAAAAAAAGAAAAAAGAAAGAGAAACAAAGAAAUGACAAAAAAAUGGCAAAAGAGAAAAAAAAAAUUAGAGGCUACAUAUAGAAGAGAGAUAAAAAAAUCUAAAAAGAAAAAACUAAAAAAAAAUGAAAAAAAAGUCAAAUUGAUAUGAUAUAGAAGUUUUAAGUUUUUGACUUAGGAUUUAAAGUGGGUUGAAACCAUUUUUACCCAAUUCAUAUUUGACCAAAUCCAUAUUUACCCAUAUUUAUAUGGGCGGAUUGCAAUCCAAACCAUUUUUGCUCGAUCCAUACUUAACCCGUCCAAAUUCAAUCCAAUCCGCCUGUUUGCCACCCCUAAUUGUACGUAUAUAUGUGUGUAUAUAUUUUCUAUAGACUCUAAAGUAGUAUAUAUUUAAUGUAUACAUGUGUAUAUAGUCUAAAAUAGUGUAUAUAUGUAGUAUUUAUAUUGUUUCAAGUAGUAUUUUAAGUAGUAUAUAUAUUAUAUUAUACGUAUAUAUGUGUAUAUAUUUUCUAUAGACUCUAAAGUAGUAUAUAUUUAAUGUAUACAUGCGUAUAUGUUUUCAAAAAUCUAAAGUAGUAUAAUAUGUAAUGUAUAUAUGUUGUAAGUUUAUUGUAUAAUGUAUUUAAAAUGUAUAUAAGUGUGAAUAUAUAGUAUAUAUUGGAAAAAACAUGUAAUUUCUAGUUUUAAUUUUUUUUUUUUACAUUUUGAUCGAUUUUGACCUGUUAAAAUCGGUUUAAAGCUAAGUGGGCCGAUCACGGGUUGAUUGGCAGAUUUUACUGUUGGGCCCGAACCGAACCAACCAUUAAGCUUGACCCAGGACCGGACUGACCCAAAAUCCGGUAAGAAAAAUUGGGCCGAUGUCAAUUUGAACAGGACCAGCCCGGUUAACAGGGUCAAGCUGUUGUCUUAGCCGCCGUAACCGCUAACUUAGCUUUUCUUCUAGCUACCUUAUACUCCUCCUUAUUCGUCUACCUCACCUCAUCAUCUUUGGUCUCAACCAACUUAGCAUAAGUCACCUUCCUCUUAACCUCUUCGUUCCACCUCCAGUCCCCUCGAUGCUUGCCAGAUCGACCUCUCGAGAUACCCAACACCUCUCUAGCGGUCUCCUUAAUUCAACUGACAGUCGUCUCCCACAUACUACCCAUAUUUCCUCUACUCUCCUAAGACCCUCUAUUCUUUAACUUCUCCUCCAUCUCCAAAGCACUAGCCAAAGUCAAGCUAGCCCACUCAAUCCUGGACCGAGCCUCCACACUCCUCUUCUUUCUUCCCUUAUUGAUUACCAAGUCCAUCACCAAUAACCUAUAUUGAGCCAAGAAAUUCUCGCUAGGUAUGACUUUACAGUCUUUACAUAGCACUCUAUCACCCUUCUAAAGGAGCAAAAAGUCUAUCUAAGUAUUGGCAACUGAACUAUGAAAAGUAAUAAUAAGGUGCUCCUUCUUCUUCGAAAAACUCGAAUUUGCUAUCCACAACCCAAAAGCCCUAGAAAAAUCCAAAAGAGAAGCUCCUCCUUCAUUCCUCUCCCCAAAAUCGAAAUCGCCAUACGUAUCAUCAUAACCUCUCGACAAAGACCUAAUAUGCCCAUUAAAAUCACCUCUCACAAAAAGCUUCUCAGUGCACGGGACGCCCCUCACUGCCUCAUCCAAAACCUCCCAAAAUCCCUUCCUUUUCUCCUCGUCCAAACCUACUUACGGAGCAUAGGCACUAAUAACGUUCAUUGUAGACCCUUCAAUGAUCAACUUAAUAGACAUCAACCUAUCACUGAUUCUCUUAACCUUCACCACUUGCUCCCUAAGUUCUUCAUCUACUAAGAUACCUACCACAUUUCUAUGUCUCAUGCUACCCGAGUACCAUAACUUAUAUCGAUCCACAUCUCUUGCCUUAGUGCCUAUCCAUUUAGUUUCCUAGACAUACGCUAUACUAACCCUCCCCUUUCUAAGAAUAUUUAUCAAUUCUAUAGACUUACCUUGAAGUGUCCCUAUGUUCCAGGACCCAAUGCAAGCACCCUUAUCUCACCUAGCCCUACUCCCCUUCGCCCCAACCCCGAACUCGAACCUAAACCCGACCCCAGCCCCGAUUCCAAUCUAUGACAUGAACCUAAUCCACCAUCUAUCCACCUAGCCACCAUUGAAAAGGAUAUGAUAGAAGAAAAUGAAGAAAAAAAGGAGACAAAAAACACGAUGUACAAAGGGUACGACUAAAAACAGCUAAAUAAGCAAACAAAAACCAGCAAGCAGGCUUGACACUUCGAAGCAACAACAAGCACUAUACUACCCACCAUAGGUAUGCUAAUAAAGAACAACUACUAAGUUACGGAGAAUGAAACCAGUAAUCCCAUAGGAACAAUCAAGAAAACCAGACAAGACAGCAAGAUAGAAAAAGAGACAAAAAGCCUAUACCAAAUAAAGUAGGGAGGAAUAAACAAGAGAAGAAUGAAACGAGUGCACCUGAUAUUGGGAGAAGACGCAGUGAAGGACGUUUUCUUGAUUGUUUUGUCGAAUUCCGAUAAAUUAGUGCCGAAAUUAGUCACCGAAAUUUGCUGCCUUUACCCUACUGCUGGUACUGUGUCCCUAUAAUUGGUCACCGACGAAUGUGUUGGUCGCCGGAAAAUGAGCUGGUCAUCGAAAUCUUGAUGUCGUCGCUUGAAGUACCGGAUCUGGGCUUGUAGUACCUACAAAAAGGUUAUAAAGAAAAAGGAACAAAGCUGAAAUACUCGCCAGAAACCGAUGUCACUCACCGAAAAUUGAUGUUCGUCCGUGAAACUUCGGCGUUGGCUUGGUGCGUCGACUGUGACACUGGUUCUUCAUCGGUGUUUGAGGAGAUGGAAGUGGACAGGGGUUGUAACUGUUGGUUUCUCCGGCAGUGGCCGACGUUACGGAUAUCGGUGAGGAUGGUGCUCUACCGACGAGGGUGAGAGUAGUGCAGUCUCACCGGUGAGAAAGUGAGGGUGUCGGCUGGUUUUGUGACUGGUGGGCUGUUCAGGGUGGUCGCUUGUGGUUGGCGGCGGUUGGCGAGUGAGAUCCAAGAAGGACGAAAACAAGAGUUCAAGGACGAAAAUCUUCCGUGAAUUCUUUAAAGAAUCAUUAAAACUCGAAAAUUGAGGAGUCUUCCUUUUCUUCGUUUCAUAUUAGUCUCUCUGCUUCAAAAUUUUGGCACUUUCCCUGCAUAUGCUUAUUCUUUUUUCCUCGAUAAAAUUUAUUCCUUUUAAUUUUUAUAUCAAUACAUCCUUGAAUUGAGUUUUAUUCCUUUAUACAGGCUGAUGAUUAUUUAGUGUUAAUGAGUUUUGUACGCUUUGUUUCAUGAAUAAUUUAGGAGUUAAUCUAUUCUGUUCAAUUUAGUGUUUUUGUUUAAUCUAUUUCGUUCAAUUUAGUGUUUUUGUACGCUUUGUCUCUAUUUCAGUGUUUUGAAGUUAAAAAUUUAGAUUUUUCAUCGACAUCACUUUUCUUUCUAUUCGUCAAUAAGUUCUUCCUGUGGUUUAAUAUUCAUUUCUUUGUUUUGAAUAACUUCUUGUUGUUGAUUUUCAUAUGCUUAAACUUUUAAUAGUAUUAGAGUAAAUAUUCAAUACUAAGGACUCAUUUGAUUAUGAAUAUUAUUCAUUUUCUUUCAAAAAUUUAUUUCACUUUAUUUGAAACAUAGUGUUUGACCAUUAAAAUUUCUAAUACAAGUUGAAUUUGAAAUUUGAAAAACAGCCAAAAUUUUUGUAUUCAUUUUUUUACUUUUUAAUUUAAAAUUUUCAAAAAAAUAUAAUUUUUUUAUUUUCAUAAAUAGUCCCAUUUAAAUUAUAUUCCAUCUUUAAAUUAUAUUUUGUAUUUUUAAAAAAAUACAUUUGAAUUCUAAAAAUUAGGUGUAAACAGUAUAGUCAAAAUACAACUCCAUCUCUAACUUUACAAAUUUUAAAUAAUAUAUAUAUAUAUAUAUAUAUUUUAAUUUUCAUUGUCAAAUGCCUACUAUAAGUAUUCUUUCUAUAGUUUUCAUUUCAGAGUUUGGGUCUAUAUUUCUUUGAAAAUUCAAAGGUUUUAGAGCUACAUUUUUUAUAAAUGUCAGCAUUGAGGAUUCAAUAAUGGAUAACAGGGGAGGAUAACGAUGUGAUCACAAAUUUUUUAGUUGAGGAAAAUUCAACUAGGGGGCUAUUUUACAAGGUGUUAAAGAUGAUGUAACUGUUUAUGAAGAGGAGGAGGAGUUUAAUAAUCUAGACUAUAAUUUGUAUAAUGAAGAUAAUGAUUUUCAGGAUGUUUUUGAUGAUGAAUAAGUUUUUAUUGAUUAUCAAGAAAUUAAAAAAUAGUUCAACAUUUGUUGAUGAUCAAUUUAUGGAUGUAGUGGUAUAAAAAUAAAAAAGAACAAAUUUUUUAAUGUGAGGUUCAUGUUUAAAUGGCAUGAAAUUUAUUUUGCCAUGUUUUUUUCUUUAAAUAAUAAAUGUAGUUGAGUGAUUUUAAAAAUAAAAAUCUUAAGUUGAGUAAUAUAUUUGAUCGAAAGCAAAGGUCAAUGACUUUGCUAGAUAAUUUUCAAUAAUUCAAUAACCUUUUAAGAUAUUAACUUAACUAUUUUUAGUAUAAACACCAUGUAAUUUGAAGCGGAGAGAGUAAAUCUUUUAUCUUUUAAGAGAAUUCAACAUAAGUCAUAUUCCUCCUUUUUAAUUUGAUUGUCUUAUUUUGACAUAAUACGAAAUUUAAUAAAGUAAAGUAUAUUUUUGAAUCUUGUAAUUUUAAUAAAAGAUAUGUAGAAUGUACAUAUAAAUUGUCUUUAAUCAUGUGAGUUUUAAUCAUGAUACGUAUAAAAUUAAAAUUAAGGAAUUAUAAUAAAGGAAAAUAAAUAUUCUUCUUAGACAAAAUUUUUAAAAGAAAAUGAAACGAUAAACUUAACCUGUCCGUAAGUUAUAAAUUUCCACAAGAGGGGUGCCAAUUGUCUCCCCUUAAAUAAGCGAAACUUUGCCGUAUUGGUGAAGAAUCCAAUCACACAAAAAUGAAGGAUACAUAGUCCUUUAGCCUUUCAUUGUUUUUUUUUUUCUUUCGAAAAUCUAAUAUGUUAAAACUCUAUUCUUUUAAUAUGUGCCUAGUUUCUGAAAUAUUAUAUUCUAUAUGGAACUGAGUCUUUGUCAUAGUUCAAUUGGUGUGGAAAAUUCGAGAGUUAAUGAGACUUAAUUUCUGUGACCUCUGUUUUUUGCUAAUAUAAUAGGUGGUGGUAAAAUUGACUUUUGUAUAGGCAUGUAUUUUUUCUUAUUGAAGAUAUUUUGUUAGCUUUUUUGUUUAGCGGAAACUUUCUAUUUUCCAGUAAACUAAAUUUAAAAUGCAUGCGUAAUGAUAGCACAUAUAUUUUUAAAGCGCUAAUUGUAGUGAAUUCGCCUGGUGUAAAUUGACAUGAAUUAUUAUGUAAGUGAGGUGACAAUUCUUGUGAUUAUUGAAAAAAAAAGGAGUAACAUCAAAUUAUUUGGAUGCAAAUUCUAUACGAGGGCUUUCAACAAAAAAUUUGUACACUGCAAUGACCUUCAUCAAUCAAUUUGGACGUGUAUUAUUGAAGAUUAGUUUUCCUUUGAGAUGUUGUUAGGCUGAGGCUGUGAUUGCUCCUUUCCAUGUGCAGAUAUCAUAUCAUUUGAUACACCAUGUACAUUAGCCACAACCCUUUUUCUUUUUGAAUUUUGAAAAUGUUGAAAGUUUGGACUAUUAUACUGCUUGUAGUUCUGAUUGUAUGACUUAGAAACUUGGAAAAUGUUGAAAGUUUCGACUAUUAUUCUGCUUGUAGUUCUGAUUGUAUGACUUAGAAACUUGGUUAGUGUUGAUUUGAGGAUACCCAUGCAACUUAUAACACCUCACCUUGGUGUGACCUGGCCUCUUGCAGAAGUCACAAAUAAUACUAUUUAUGCUAUUGCUGCUUUCAAAUAAUAAUUUCCUCCUCCAACAUUCCCUCCUGAAAAGCUACUGUUGCUGUCAUAAUUGUUACUACCACCUGAAUAGCCAACUUUCCCUGCAUAAAUGUUAGAAAAAUUUAUUCGAAAGAUCUGUCAGCAGAAUUCUUUCUAGUAUAUUGUAUGUAUUGACAUUCAUGGAUGUUGAUUCCAAUGCUAUACGACCAGUAGGCUUAAAACUUUCUUUGUUUUUCCUCCCUUAUUAGUAAAGAAAUGGCUUGUGACAUGGAAGGAAGUGGAUUCAUCAUGAGAAUAAUUCGUCGCAUAACUGUAUAUACUUCGUUUAAUCCCAUCAGAAAUUCAAUUAGGCCGUCUGUCCUGUUCUGCUUUGUGGACACCUUCCUUAGCACCACAAGUAAAUUCACAACUGCAUUGCAUGGGCGGAGCUACCUUCGCCAAAGGGUGGUCAGAUGCACAUCCUUCGCUGGAAAAUUAUAUAGUGAAUAGAGGUUAAAUGUUAAUCGUAAUGAGUGUAUAUUCAAUUUUGCACACUCUUAACUUAGUUGAGGAUAAAAUUUGCACACCCUUCACUAUAUUCCUGGCACCGCCACUGCUGCAUUGGUCCUUCGAACUCAAAGUAUUCAAUUAUUCCCACAACUUUUUCAUCCUAAUAUGAUACACAGUAAUAUCUAAGAUUCUCGGGAUAAUUUGCAAAAUAGACACUUUCAAAACUUAUUUUGGCAUUUAGGCACAAGUCUUGGAAAAUUAGGUGUUUAGACACUAAAAUGAUAUCAUCACUUCUUACAUACAAACCUACCACACAAGUUUUAAACUUUACACUUUAGUCCCCCACCUCAUCCAUUUAAUAUUUAAUAUUUCCCACCUUUUUUUAUAUUUCCACCAUUUUUUCAUAUUUUCUAUUUUAAUUUUAAAAAUUAUCCAAGAAGCCACCAAUAGGAGCUCCAUUUUUCACCAAUAAUUUUCGAUUCCGGCCACUUUUCCGAUGAAAAGUGGCCCAUCACAACUGAAAAUCUUCAUUCUUGAUCAUUGCCUUCAUUGUUGUUCCAUCCUCUCACCAUUUCUACUAGCUCGAAAAGCUUUCCAAAUCCACUCAAUACUUCGUCAUUAGAUAUACUUCAGUAGUUUAGAAGUCCUACAUAUACAUUUGUUCGUCCUAGAGCUAGGAGGGCAUUAAUUAUAUCCAAAAUCUGUCGAUUCGCUUCUUUGUACGAACGUUUUGAUACCAGUGAUCGACCAGUGAUCGAUCAGCUAUAGACCGAUACCUUAAUCUAUUAUUGAUUUGUGUGGUCUAUUAUUGCUGUAGCUGAGUAGUUAUCGUGGGUGGUAAUUAUAUCGGUGCGUGAGAGAAGGGUCCCAACUAUUGGAAGUGGAAAUCAUCUAGCAAGGAGACAGCUCUCAUCCUGCUGCGUCACAAUGAAUCGUACAACGACAUGGUUCAAAGCGUAAUUGAGAGUGGAGAAUUAGAAUGCGAGCCAAAGAACGUUGUGAUUAGCUAUGUAAUGAAUGAGUCGGGUAAAAUACAUCCCACGUUCAUAAAUAAUGAUCGGCAUGUGUUGUUAUACAUGUUGGAUGUCGCUGUCGAUCGCUCUAGGCCAUUAUUGAUGAUAAAUGUCGUCCCGGGGUCUCCGACAAUCCUGUCAUCACAACCGACAAUCGACGAACAUGAUUUAUUUGAAGAUGAGAGUUUGGAUGCUCAUCCAAUAGAUUCGAAAGAUCAUUCAAUGGAAUUGAAAGAUUCAAUUUUCUCUGAAGAAGCGGGAGAAGAGUGCGGAUUGAGAGCACAAACCAACCAUACCUUCUCCAACGGAACUAAUUUUCAGGUAAAUUAAAUAUUUAGCAGCAAAAAGAAGAUAAAAUUGUUGCUGGACGUAGCAGCUGUGAGAAAUUCUUUUGAUUAUGCUAUAUUGAAGAGUUGAGGCAAAUUUCUCAAGGUAAAAUGCGUUUGUCCUAGUUGAGCGUGAAUGUUGUUGGCAAAGAAGGAAGGUCCAGUAUAACCAAUACCUCCUCCUCCGUAAUAACCUAAACCAUCUCUUCUAUGGUCUAGGACAAGACAAGGAGCACUGCCACCACGAACUCCGGCGUAUCGCCUAUUUUUUAUGGGCGAUUGUGGAGCGGUUCAACAUGGAGCUCGAGGAGAUGAUCACCCCACCAUCCCCUUAGUUUAGGUUUAAAUUUUGUUGCUUUUUUUUGUUUUAAAUUCAUUGUAAUGAGAAGCUUUCAUGGUUAGGAAUAUGUUAGAUGAAAGCUUCUUUAUUUUGCUGUUUUUGCUCGUCUUUUGUUGUAGAUAUUGUUCUAUACCAUUGCAAUGAAGUAUGAAUGAAGUAUCUUUGUUUCCUAUAUUUGUUUCCUCUUUAAUUUUGCAAUUUUGUUCUUGUUUGAAUUUUUGUAAUUUUUCCUGUUAGAAGAUGAAUCAAAUGGUUGUGAGAUGUGAAAAUUGAUUCAUAUAUGAUAAUGGAAAAUGAAUCUAGUUUAUCCAGGGUUAUUUUGCUGUAAAUAUAGUGGUAAAUCAUUGCAAUGAACUUAUAAAUGAAGUAUUUUCAUAUUUCCUGCAUUUGUCUUCACUUUAAUUUUAUAAUUUUCUUUUUCUUUUUGAAUUUUUGCAAUUUACCCUGUUAGAAGAUGAACGAAACAGUUGUCAGAUAUCAAAUUAAUUCAUAUAUGCAAAUGGAAAAUGAAUCUGGUCUAUCCGCAAUUAUGUUGAUUUAUACAAAAUUAAAUGCAAAGUCGAUGUAGUUUAUUAUUUACAGAGCUCAAUAUCUAUGCGUAAACAUCUCCGUAAUUGAUGCAUUCCACUAUGAGGUCCAUCGAUUGUGUCCAGUGUAUAUCAUAGACUGUAAGCCUUAUCAAUAAUAUACCGUAUUGAUUUAUUUCCCUCAGUAGUUUCUUUGGAAAAAAGGGAAUAAUUAGUUAAUCAAAAAAUAUAUAAUUGAAUUUUAUGCUAUUAAAGGAUCUUAAACAUGUCAUGUGAUCGUAUGAGAGUCUACAGAAAUUUUACAAGGUGAUCAAGGAUGUGUGAGGAUGGACUGCAGAUGAACAAAUAAAUUCCUCACAACAUACUUGUGCUUUGGUAAACAUUGCCCUAAGGAUGUUGGUUGUUCAACCACAACUCAUCACCUCACAAAUCUUUGAUAAACACUUUUAAUUUACGUGGACUCUCAUAGGAUCACAUGACUUGUUUAGGCUCAUUCGAUUGCAUAAAAUUCAAUUACUUAUUAUUUUAUUAAUUAAAUAAUUCUUUUCAAAAUAUGUGUUAAUCACGGUCUAUAAAUAUGUGUCCUAAUCUAGUACAUUUAUUAAUGAAGUUGUACACCAUAUAUGCUAGACUAUGCUUAGUUAUGUACUCGGCCUGAUAUAGUCUAGCAUAGACUGUAAACUACUUUCACAAUUAAAUAACUAGACUAUGACAUUUAAUCAUAGACCAUGACUAGCACAUAUUUUGAGAAGGAUUAAUUAAUUAAUAGAAUAAUAAAUAAUUGGAUAUUAUGCAAUUAAAUGAGCCUAAACAAGUCAUGUUAUCGUAUGAGAGUCCACAUAAAUUGAAAGUGGUGAUCAAAGAUGUGAGGUGAUGAGUUGUGGUUGAACAAAUAAAUUCUCCACAACAUACUUGUGCUUUGGGUAAACAUUGCUCAAGCAUGUUUGUUGUUCAUCCACUACCCAUUCUCACACAUCUUUGAUCACCUUAUCCAAUUUACGUGGACUCUCAUACGAUCACAUGACUUGUUCAAGCUCUUUUAAUUGCAUAAAAUUUAAUUAUUAAUUAUUUUAUUGAUUAAAUAAUACUUCUUAAAAUAUGUGCUAGUUAUGGUCUAUGAAUAUGUAUCAUCAUCUAGUACGGUUAUUAAGGAAUUAGCUCUUAGUUUAUGCUAGAUGGUCAAUCUAUGCGGUGCAUCAUCUACCAAACGUAUGAGAAGUCAUCGAUUAUAAAUAAGGUCUAUGAAACUAGUCCAGCAGUAACAAAAAUCUAAAUAUCAAAUUGUUACAACAAUAAUAAAGUAUAUGUCAAAUCACAUCCAACGGUAAUAUCACCUUUUUCUUCUAUAAAAGGAAGGUUAUUUUUGUGUUAACACUCUUAUUUUUUUUGCUUUAAUUUUUGUUAACAACUACAAUGCCUCAAGCAUCCCAAACAUCAAGUGCAAAAGUGUCCUGCAUAUGUCGUAGUGGCAAUCUAACUAUUUUUAGGACGUCACACACCAAUUCGAAUUCAGGACAAAAGUUCUUUAACUGUGUGGUUGGAAAGGAUAAUGGCGGAUGCUCUUUUUUUAAGUGGCUUGACAAAAACUCAACGACGACCAGCCCAUCGACAUCAAAUUUUUGAGGCGCUUCUAAGUUUCAUAUACUAUAAAGGUUUCAGGAAUCUGAAGAAAAUAGAGAUCUACUCAUGACAUUGCUAAAAGAAGCUGAAGAGCAAAGGGAUUACUUGAAAGGAUCACUAAAAGAAGUCGAAGUGAGAAAGGAUCAACUAAAGCAAAUAUUGAUUUUGGCCGAGGAAAAAGAAAAAUACCUAAAAAAAUUAUUGUAUGGUUUGUUAUUGUUGUUGGCUUUCUGGAAAGGUGUAAUAGGGAUAUAUGAAACUGAAUAAAUAGAUAUAUGGUUUCUUAAAUCAAUCAUGGGUGUAAUCUAUAAUUAAUAGAGAAUUAUGUCUAUGUCUUUUCUCAUCGACCUCUAUAAACCAUGAUAGUUACUGUAAAUAUAUGAUUUACUCAAUUGAUAGUCUGUUAAGUCUAUAAAUUAUAGAGAACAACUUCUACAAUAUGUUCAAUCAACCACUAUAAAUUAGGACAAUGGCUUAACUGGUAAUGCAAAGCAGUCAACUGUUUAAUCUAAUGAGACAAUGGAAUAACUGAAAAUAAUUUCAUUAGUAAAUGUCAUCAUUGACAUGCCAAAUAUAUGUAAUUUAAUUAUCCAUAAAAAAUAAAUCACUAAAAACAACAAAUCAUUAAGAAAAUCGUUUGUUCCAAAUCCACCAAACUACUUAUUUUCUUGAUUGAGUUCCGAAACAAUGCCCAUCACAUCCACUUCUUUUUCAUAAUAUUUUUUUCCUCUUCUUCAACUUCUUUCUUCUCAUUUUCCUUCUCUUCUUCUUCUUCUUCUUCUUCUUCUUCUUCUUCUUCUUCUUCUUCUUCUUAUGAUGAUGAUGAUUUCUUCUCUUCUUCAAUGUUUUCAAACUCCUGUUCAACCACUAAUUCUUCGUCAAUUGCCUUCUCAUUUUUGUCUUCUUCUUCUUCUGAUUUCUUUUAACUACUCUAUGAACUCUUCUUUCCAUUUAUGAUCUACAAUAAAAAAUGACUCUGUAGUGGUCGAUAUAUCGACCAUUGAUCUAUUAAUAAAAAUAAAAAAUAUAGUAAAAAUAAAUCUGUGGUGGUCGAUCUAUUGACCACUGGUCUAUUAAGAAAAACGAGAAAACACCUCACAUCAAACAUAUAAAUCAAGUUCCAAAUUCACUAGAUAUUAGCAGUGCAAUUCACAACAACAAGAACACCAUUAAAAUGGGUCCAAUUUAGUAUUAAAAUUUCAAAAUCAAUACACAAUAUAAGUACAAAAAUUUAAAUUUUUCUUACUCAUUAUCCAAAGCAAAACACAAUUAAACAUGCGGAAUCGAUAAUGUUAACUAAAAACACUCAAAUUUCGACUAAUUCAAUGAAGAAAAGUGUAAUUUUUGUCAAAAUCGAAAAAAAUCCACACAAAACGUCAUAAAAAAAUUACUAAAAUGGAUCUAAAACUAAUCAGGGAAGAAAUUUAGACUUACCUGAACAAGAGAAACUGAAAAAUUUUGCCUGAGGAAGCAAGAAUCGUGCAAACUUUUUUUUUUCAUAAAAUAUAAACUAAAAUCGGGAGAUGGAAGGUUUUGAGGAGACAGAGAUGUAGUUGAAAAUAUUAAAUGAUUUUAUGAAAAAUUAAUAAAUAUAAAUGGGGACCAUGUUGUAUUUUUUUAAAAGUUGUAUUUUUUUUCCAAGUUUUAAAAAUGUUAAAGAAGUCCGUGACCCCACAACCCUGAUCCACUUUUUACCCUUUUCAUACCCUAACCCUAUAAAAUAAAUCAACAAGAAAUUUGGGGUCUAACCCUCAAAAUAAGUUUUGAAAGUGGGAAGUUAUCAAAAUUGUCUCAAAAUUCUCUGGGUCGUCAUUGAUUUCUUUUUGAAUUUGGUACAACUUAGCUCCAUUAGUGUGGCUGUACCUAUCCUCUAUUUCUCUCCACAAUUCAGCACAAUUAGUGCCAUACUGUACGUUAUUUGGUAUCUCUUUAGCUAAGGAUGUCAAUAUCCACGAGGUCACCAUAUCAUUGCACCUUUGCCACUAACAAGGUAAAUUUGCAUCAUGCUUCUCACAACUUUCAUCGAUGUAUUAGUUUUUGUCCUAAUUUUCUUACCAAAUUUGAGGUUUACAUUUUCUUAAAGAAAAAAUCAAAGUAGUAAAAGAAUUACUUUAAUUUUUCUAAAAGGAAAAUAUAUUUUUCUUCCAUAUUUGACUGACAUCUUUCUUGGAGGAAAUGUUUUGUAAUUCAAUAAACUGAAGAUCACUCUUCUCAUACCGUAACAGAAUAAUAUCCAUGAUCCAGUCUUUAAAGAGUCUUGUUUAGGAGGAUAUUUCUCUCUAAUAAUUUUUUAUACUUUUUUUAAUAUUAGGUUAAUUGGCCAAGCCAUAUAAUAAUUAUGCUUUUAGUAUAUUUUUCUUCGUUGUAUGAAUUAUUGCUUAUUUGGUUUGAAAAUUAUAAGCUUCAGCAUGAUGCCUUCUCGAUUUCGAACCCAACAAGUGGUGUCAGAGCCUAUGGUUCAAUGGUCCAGUUGUUCAAAUUGAGGAAAACUCAAGAUCAAAGUUGCAAUCAACUUGACGAUAAUGAAGAUCUUUUGUCAAAAAAAAGUCCAAAAAGAAAUACUACAUGUGGAGAUAUUUUAUUUUCAAUCAUAUGUUCAACAAUCCUGCUGCUAUAUAUUUAAAAAUAAAAAUACUUUUAACACUACGAAGGACUCACUUUUAAUCUCAUGAAGGGCUUAUUUUUAACCCUAUAGAGGGCUUAUUUUUAACCCUGCAAAUGACUCACUUUUAACUCAAAAGGACUCCAUUUAUAAACAUGCCAAGUAGAAGUGAUGAAGAUUAUGGGAAUAAAAAAAUCAUGCACGUGAUGAAGAAAGUGGAUCAAUUUUUUUCAAGAAAAUCAGCCAAAAAAGGGAGAUUUGUUAGAGUUUAUGUCUUGAUUUUCUUACCAAACUUGAGGUUUACUUUUUCUUAAAGAAAAAGUCAAAGUAGUAUGAUAAUUACUUUACUUUUUCUAAUAGAAAAAUAUAAUUCUCUUUCAUAUUUGGAUAACAUCUUUUUUAGAGGAAAUAUUUUGUAACUCGAUAAAUUGAAGAUCCCUCUUGUCAUACCAUAACACAAUAUCAUCCACAAUGUAGGCUUUAAACGGUCUUGUUUUGGGGAGAUUUCUCUCUAAUAGUUUUUAUGCUUUCUUUUAUAUUAGAUUUUCAUAUUUAGAACAAUUGGCCAAGCCAUAUAAUAUUAUGCUUUUAGUAUAUUUUUCUUUGUCAUCUGAAUUACCGCUUUCAUGGUUUGCUAAUUAUAAACUUUCACAUGACGCCCUCUCAAUUUCUAACCCUACACGNNNNNNNNNNNNNNNNNNNNNNNNNNNNNNNNNNNNNNNNNCGAUGAACCCUAGCUUAUUCAUCACUGACAAAGCUCACAAAACACCUUAACUCCAGGGUCAAUAUUAUACUCCAUCAAAAUAAGCAGGAACAAGCAUCAUCCCAGGGCUAUUCGAAGGAUGCACAUAAAGUGCAUUGUUUACAUUAUCUUUACUCCUAGCACUAUAUUCUCCUUGUUUAGUUGCCAUAAUCUCGAUUGGAAAAAAAUUUUAUGGAGAAAUUUGCAGAUAUGAGAAACAACAACAAAAUAUAGAAAUGUAAACUAAAUGACAGUUUCUUUAUGAAAUUGAGAAACAAAGGGCAUAAAAUUAAAGAGCAAUUGCUGCACAAAAAUGAAGGACAAAUUCAAAUUAAAGAAAAGUAAAGACGGAAUUAGAGAAGCACAAGAUUAUAUUGAGCAUCGCUGGCUCUGAUACCAUACUAAACAUGCACAUCCAUGAGGAAUUAUUAGAAACAAUCAACAUUCAUAGAUUAGAUGGGAGGCAAAACUGAAUAAGCAAAUGACAUGAAAAAUGAGAAAUGAAAAUUGUACUAAUUUCCUUUAAUGAGAGUAGUAUUUAUACAAGUCCUAAGUCUUGGUAUGAACAAUAUCCCGCCUGUCAUUUUAUUCAAAAUAAUCUAACUAACUAAUCAAGUGUGCUAACUGUCAGCUGACUAAUGCAACAAUGUUAACUGAAAAAUUUUAACAUUGGUAAGGCUCAACUAACCAAAGUAUUGAAGGUUCAUUAAUUUUUUGACACAUGGAUAUGUGAGGUCCAUUUGUCUACUUUAAAUCAAGAAUAAAAUUAACAAGAAAGAGAAAGGUAUAUCUAUAGUAAUUGAUAUGGAUUCCACUGACACAUAAAUUGAGUUAAACAAAGAUAAAAAAUGCAAUAGAAAUUCUAUGUGUUUGCUGUUUUUUUUUUCAAUACUAUUCUCUUUGCACGGGCGUUGCACAUGUGUCUCAUCAGCAUAAAGAGGUACUCCAAGAGAAUUUCUAAUUCUACUUAAUGACUCUUUACCCUAGAAAUUUAAUGGUAAAUUUAGAAGCCUAACCCAAAUUGGGAUAGUAGUCAAUACCUUAGCCUAGAAGUCAAAAUCAGCACUUCAUACCUUGAGUAUUAUUGGUUGAUUGUUUAUAGUAUGCGACCAGAGUAAAUAACUUCAUUAUGAUUAGUUAAAUAAGACGACGAAAUAUCCUUCAUUGUGGUAAUAAACUUUUGGCUUGCUAGUGAAGUUCCAUUGCACAACAAUGAACUGUUCAAGUGAACCAAUUAUGGGUGAAUCACCCACAACAUACAAAAUUAAUGUCUUUCUCCAAUUAUCAGUUUUCUUUUCAAUAUCUACCAGCUGAAGUUGAACAAUUUUAAUACCAUCUUGCACUACAUAGGGCACAAACUCCAAAUCUAUCUAUUUAGUUGUAAGUUUAUUUGUGUUGAACAAAGCAUUCCAAGGUUUUUCUGGUUCACCUUUGAACAUCUAAUUUCAUCUUGGCAGCAGGAUCUUUAUUUAUGGGAAUUUUCUCAAUCAAUUGCACGUUUCCCUCUUUUAGAGCUUAAAGUCUUGUUAUGAACUCCCACUAAUGUAGCCUUAAUUGUUGGUUCUCCCUAAUCUAAGGUAUGGGCUUUAACCAGAUUCUCACUUGCUGGUCCUCUCUUCAAUAGAGCAAUAUAUGGGGUAAUAGAUUUACCAUUCCUUAAGUACGUCGGUCCAUGUGGAGUUGUUACUAACUCUUGACCUUGCUGCCUAUACGCAGUCGCACUCUCCCCAUUCCGAAGGGCAUAUAUGUCAUAACCUAAACUAGGGCCUGGCCAGGACGGGCAUCUCAAGUCCAACAAAGAUCGAAGACCACCCCCUGAACCUAACCAAAUAGAACACAAUACCCCCAAUAGUGACUAAAUUUUGAAUAUAUAACAAGAUAGCAUAAGAUAAGCUCAAAGAAUUUAAGAUAUGUCUAUAACCGAUAACCGUUAACCAAUAAAAACAACCACCACCACCACCACCCAAGUCCACAGUAAUCCAUAAAGCCUUCUAACAAAUUUAAAAUUAAUAAAGUGUCGGGAUAUGCCCCUGAUGCUGACAAUGAAAGUGUAUAUGAACUCUUUAAGUCUAGUUUAUAAAAAAGAAACCGAUGGAAUGAUCAAGUCUUUCGGAGAAUGGAAGCUCACCACUUUACUACAAAUGAUCGAUGAACCGAGCUGAUCCACCUAACACCAUGCAGGAAAAGUAGAAGUAUCUUCGGUGCCUUUAUUGCAUGGGAAUACAAUGUUCGAAGAUGGUUAGUGGGUUGAGCACUAUAUAACUCAGGGAGAAGGUUAAAUCAAUGACAAUUCAAAAUUUAGUUCAACUCAAUGUACAUGUUCACCUAUAUGUAUACUUAUAUAAUAUGUCAGUAUAGGUAAAAAGGCUUAACAUGCUCUUUAAAACCUUAGCCUAGAUCGUGUAGCUCAACCGUCAUUUAAUAGUACCCACAGGCGAUAUGGUCCCCAGCUCUCACCCUCUGGUCGGGCCCCAGUGCAUGCAACCGCAAGAAUCAUAGAAUAAUCUCAUAUAUAUACAUGGGGGACUCGAACCUCCCAAUCAUAAACUAAGGUGACUUAAGCACCCGAUCAUAAAAUAUAAUAUGGGGGACUCGAACCUCCAAAUAAUAAUAAUAAGAUGGACUCAAACCACCUAGUCAUAACCGAGGCGACUCGAACCCUUGGCCAUUUCAACCCCUGUGCUAGAAAAUACAGUUUCUAAUAUUAGCCCCUCGGGACCUACACUUUCACGGCCUAGCUACACAACUCUCUUUAAGCUCUAUUAAAACAUUUAUCACACAUUGUCAUUCAUUGAACCAUAAUACAUAUUUAGGCAUACACUAUUGGUAUCGUUAUACCAACCACAGUUGCAAGAUAUCAUCAACAUGAAAAAUUAAUUCCAUUUAACUUGGGAGAACAACUCCCUUUGUUCAUUAAUACAAGGUAGGGUAAAACCGACUCCGUUUGUUCAUUAAAUAAAGCCAUCAUAUUUCAAUAACCUCUUAUAUCAUGCAAUUGUUCUGAAAAUGGUUCAAUGCAAUUAUAUUCAUGCUCAAAACAACUUCCAUAAAAUUUGGGAUGGGGUUAUUACCAAUUAAAUUGUAAAUAUUCACAAAAUUUAGGGAGAUCACAAUCCCCUAGUUUAUUCACCAUGCCCAUGCACCCCACAAGCCAUAAAUAAAGCAUGAACAAUUAUAUGUAAACCAUGGAAAAUAUUAUUCAGAAUCAAUCAUUCAAAACCCACAAUCCAUGUUCCAAAACCAACAUCCAAACCACAUGAAUAACUAAUUAAAACACAUACUUUUACAAAAUAUUUGUUGGGAAGAGUACCAUGCCUAAAAUAUCAAGAGUUAUGGAGAGAAUUUGCCCUUGAAAGCUCUAACUGAUCAACUUAUUUGAAACCCUAAGUAUCUUGCUUGAGAGAAUUUAGUGAGUUUAAGAGAGUGUUUUAAUUGUGAAUAGUAUGCUAAUGAAGUCCCAAAGAGGGUUUUAAGUAGUGGGGGCUAAGUAGGGUAGGAGAGAAAUUACCAAGAUGCCCUUAAUUAAAAGAAUAAAAAUUGACGCCUAGUUGCUACGGCUGACCUCACGGAACAUAUGGUCACCCUACGACUCAUUUAGUCCAGUUGUAUUCUGGAUAGUGUCCAGGGUUAUCCCACACUGGUCUGGUUACGAGUUGCACAAUAUGACUCAUACCCAGUCCUUAUGACUGAUAAACAUACUAGUCGCAGUCCCAACAGGAACUUAGGAUAGUACAUUGGCUCUUUUGCGAUUCACACCCUACAACUCAUUACGAGGCCCUACGACUCACAGGGUCUAAUUCAUAGUCAAGAUAGAAACUCCAGGCUAACAUACUAUGGCCAGGCUAUGAUUGGGUCCAUAAGACAGAUAAUGACACCCUAUAACUCGCAUGGUGAGUCGUAGUGGAGACAGUAAGCUCAAAGAUCAAUAAAUUUUUCAGGGAUAAAAAACUCAGGAUGUUACAUUCUCCCCCCUCAAGAUCAUUAGUCCCCAAAUGAUGAGACAAGGUAUCCCUUUGCAAGAUUUAACAUAGAAACACACCCAAUCUUACCUUUAACUAAGAUAGAAAAUAGAGAUAUUAAGAAUAACACAUACCUUAAGCACGAUUUUUCAGAAGGGGGAACAAGAAGGGAUACUUUGACUUCAUGUCCUCUUCAUCUUCCCAAGUAGCUUCUUCAACCUUAUGGUUCCUCCAUAGAACCCUUACCGAGGACACAUCCUUAGUCUGUAACCAAUGGAAUUGCCAAUCCAAGAUCUCCACCUGCACUUCCUCAUAAGAUAAGGAAUCCUAUACACCAAGGAAGGAUCUCCCACGCACUUUCUCAAUAUUGAAACCUGAAUAUCCGGGUGAAUAGAACCCAAACUCUAAGGCAAUUCCAAUUAAUAAUCCACAUUGCCCACUUCCUUCAAAAUCAAAUAAGGGCCUACAUAAUAGGGACUAAGCUUUCCCUUCUUUCUAAACUGCAUCACUUCCUUCAUGGGAGACACAUCCAAGAAUACCAAUUACCAACUUCAAAUUCUAGCUUUUUUUGCCUCACGUCCAUAUAGGACUUCUAGAGACUUUGGGUGGCCUUAAGCCUAUCCCGAAUUACCUUCACCUUCUUCAUAGAUUAAUUAACUAAAUCAGGACCAAACAACCCAACCUCGCCAACCUUAAACCACCGAAUAGGAGAAUGACAUCUCCUACCAUACAAAGCCUCAAAUGGAGACAUACCAACGUUACAGUGGUAGCUAUUAUUAUAUACGAACUCAAUAAGGGGCAAAUGAUCAACCCAACUACCACCAAAAUUAAUCACAAAAGAUCUAAGCAUAUUCUCUAAUAUCUGAAUGGUCCUCUCCACUUUUCCAUCCAUGUGAGGGUGCAAAGAGGUUCUAAGGUUUACUUUAGUCCCCAAACCUCUAUGAAAAGAAUGCCAAAAGAGUGAGGAGAACUGAGUACCUCGAUCUGAUAUAAUAGAAACCGAUGCACCAUACAACUUUACGAUCUCCUGAAUGAACAGCCUUGCAUAAUCCUCAACAAAGUAAUUAGUCCUCAUAGGUAAGAAAUAAAAAGACUUAGUCAUCCUAUCCAUGAUGACCCAAAUUGAAUUGAACUGAUGGAGAGACCACAAAGACCAGUAACAAAAUCCAUAUUAAUCACUUUCCAUAUAUUUUCGGGUAACUCAAUCUCUUAAGACAACCCACUAGGUCUCCAGUGCUCUAUCUUUACUUGUUGAAAAAUCAUACACUUGGCCACAAAAUUUGCUAUAUCUCACUUCAGGUUAUUCCGCCAAUAGAUCUCUUUCAAAUUAUUAUAACUCUUCACCAAACUAGGAUGAACAAUGUACUUCAACUCAUGAGCUUCAACCAAGAUCCUCUCUCGUAGCCUAUCAAUAUCGGGAACACACAACCUACCUUAGUAACUCAAUAUACUAUAAUCACCAAUCUAGAAAACCAUCAUUUUCUACUGGCCCACGUAUCCUUUACCAACUAUCACUUUUACUCCUCCACAUGAAAUAAUCGUUCCAUAGAUAACUUGCUAAGAGCAUCAGCAACCACAUUAGCUUUACCUAGAUGAUAGUGAAGACUCAUAUCGUAGUUUUUGAGCAACUCAAUCCACCUUCUCUGCCUGAGAUUCAAAUACUUCUAGGAGAACACAUAUUGGAAACUCUUAUGGUCUGAAUACAUGUCAACAUGAACCCCAUACAAAUGCUAGUUCCAAAUCUUCAAAGCAAAGACUACAACCAAUAAUUCUAAGUCAUGAGUUGGGUAAUUCUUCUUAUAUACUUUCAACUGCCUAGAAGCAUAGGCCACAACUUUACCAUUCAACAUCAAUACAUAACCCAGUCUCAUAUGGGAUACAUCACAAUAACCACAAAACCCUCGACCCUUAAGUAGGGUCAAAACUGAAGCCGAAGUCAACUUGUCCUUUAAUUUCUCAAAGAUACCCUCACAAGUAUCGAACCACAAAAAAUCACCUUCUUUUAGGCCAACUUAGUUAAUGGAGCAGAGAUUGAAAAGAACUUUCCACGAAUCUCUUAUAGUACCCGGCUAAACCUAAGAAUCUCCAAAUGUCAGUUGGAGUAAUAGGUCUGGGACACUUCUUAGCCGCCUCAACUUUCUUUGGAUCCACUAUGAUCCCCUCACUAGAAAAAACAUAACCCAAAUAAGACACCACAUUUAACCAUAACUCACACUUAGAGAAUUUAGCAUACAACUGCUGAUCCUUAAGGGUCUACAAAACUAUAUGGCGGUGACUAGCAUGAUCCGCCUCACUCUUUGAAUACACUAAAAUGUCAUCAAUAAACACAAUGACAAAUAAGUCCAUAAAUUGAAGGAAUACCCAGUUCAUAAGAUCCAUAAAUGCCACUGAAGCAUUAGUCAAACCAAAGACAUGGCCAAGAACUCAUAAUGGUCGUAUCGGGUACAAAAAUAGUCUUAGGGAUAUCCACUUCCCUAAUCUUCAACUGAUAAUAUCCCUACCGAAGAUCAAUCUUAGAGAAGUACUUACAACCUUAAAGCUAAUAAAAUAGGUCAUCAAUCCUAGGAAGAGGAUACUUAUUCUUUACCAUUACCUUAUUCAACUGGCAGUAAUCUUAGCAUAUCCAAAGGGACCCAUCCCUUUUACGCUCGAAAAAAUAGGAGCACCCCAUGAGGAAACACUAGGAUGAAUAAAACCCUUAUCUAGAAGAUCUUUGACCUGCUCCUUAAGUUCUUUCAACUUAGUUGGAGCCAUUUUAUAAGAAGGGAUAGAGAUAGGUCGGGUAUUUAAAAGAAGAUCAAUCCCAAAAUCUAUAUCCCUAUCGAGAGGGACACUAGAAAGGUCAUCAGGAAAUACUUCGGGGAAUUCACAAAUUACUGGAACAGAUUAAAAUAAAGGAACCUCAAAACUAAAAUCUUUAACAUGAACUAAAUAGUAUAGACAUCCCUUGUAGAUCAACCUCUGGGCUAUAAGAUACAAAAUGAAUCUUCCCUUAGGCAUUAGGGAACUACCUUCCCACUUAUUUAUUGGUUCAUUUGGGAAUUAGAAAUUUACCCUUAGGGUCCUAUAGUCAAGAUACACAUAGCAUGAGUGCAACCAAUACAUCCCUAAAAUCAUAUCAAAGUCUAACAUGCCCAACUCUAUCAGAUCCACUAAUGUCUUCCUACUAUGGAUAGGCACCACAAAACCCUUAUAAAUCCUUCUAGACAUAAUAGAAUCACCCACUGGGGUAAACACAAAGAAAGGAUUAGGAAUA
Molecule: long non-coding RNA, 38585 nt
Filed under: Capsicum annuum
Lineage: Eukaryota; Viridiplantae; Streptophyta; Magnoliopsida; Solanales; Solanaceae
Description: long non-coding RNA (CANN_LNC005300)
Source: RNAcentral